This 467-nucleotide ribosomal RNA is filed under the name uncultured bacterium. RNAcentral describes it as "partial 16S ribosomal RNA". It matches the Rfam family "Bacterial small subunit ribosomal RNA", at positions 28 to 506 of the family's 1533-position model. The record is from RNAcentral.
GACGAACGCUGGCGGCGUGCUUAACACAUGCAAGUCGAACGGAAAGGCCCUGCUUUUGUGGGGUGCUCGAGUGGCGAACGGGUGAGUAACACGUGAGUAGCCUGCCCUUGACUUUGGGAUAACUUCAGGAAACUGGGGCUAAUACCGGAUAGGAGCUCCUGCUGCAUGGUGGGGGUUGGAAAGUUUCGGCGGUUGGGGAUGGACUCGCGGCUUAUCAGCUUGUUGGUGGGGUAGUGGCUUACCAAGGCUUUGACGGGUAGCCGGCCUGAGAGGGUGACCGGCCACAUUGGGACUGAGAUACGGCCCAGACUCCUACGGGAGGCAGCAGUGGGGAAUAUUGCACAAUGGGCGGAAGCCUGAUGCAGCAACGCCGCGUGCGGGAUGACGGCCUUCGGGUUGUAAACCGCUUUCGCCUGUGACGAAGCGUGAGUGACGGUAAUGGGGAAAGAAGCACCGGCGAACUACGU